GCGGAGAUGUCGACUUGGAGGUUGUGCCCUUGAGGCGUGGCUUCCGGAGCUAACGCGUUAAGUCGACCGCCUGGGGAGUACGGCCGCAAGGUUAAAACUCAAAUGAAUUGACGGGGGCCCGCACAAGCGGUGGAGCAUGUGGUUUAAUUCGAUGCAACGCGAAGAACCUUACCUGGUCUUGACAUCCACGGAAGUUUUCAGAGAUGAGAAUGUGCCUUCGGGAACCGUGAGACAGGUGCUGCAUGGCUGUCGUCAGCUCGUGUUGUGAAAUGUUGGGUUAAGUCCCGCAACGAGCGCAACCCUUAUCCUUUGUUGCCAGCGGUCCGGCCGGGAACUCAAAGGAGACUGCCAGUGAUAAACUGGAGGAAGGUGGGGAUGACGUCAAGUCAUCAUGGCCCUUACGACCAGGGCUACACACGUGCUACAAUGGCGCAUACAAAGAGAAGCGACCUCGCGAGAGCAAGCGGACCUCAUAAAGUGCGUCGUAGUCCGGAUUGGAGUCUGCAACUCGACUCCAUGAAGUCGGAAUCGCUAGUAAUCGUGGAUCAGAAUGCCACGGUGAAUACGUUCCCGGGCCUUGUACACACCGCCCGUCACACCAUGGGAGUGGGUUGCAAAAGAAGUAGGUAGCUUAACCUUCGGGAGGGCGCUUACCACUUUGUGAUUCAUGACUGGGGUGAGUCAAAAGGGGGGGAAAAAAAAAGGGGGCCCGCCCCGUUUUGACCCACUGG
Molecule: ribosomal RNA, 731 nt
Filed under: Helicobacter pylori
Lineage: Bacteria; Pseudomonadati; Campylobacterota; Epsilonproteobacteria; Campylobacterales; Helicobacteraceae
Description: bacterial SSU rRNA
Rfam family: Bacterial small subunit ribosomal RNA
Source: RNAcentral